AUACGGAGGAUCCGAGCGUUAUCCGGAUUUAUUGGGUUUAAAGGGAGCGUAGGUGGAUUGUUAAGUCAGUUGUGAAAGUUUGCGGCUCAACCGUAAAAUUGCAGUUGAAACUGGCAGUCUUGAGUACAGUAGAGGUGGGCGGAAUUCGUGGUGUAGCGGUGAAAUGCUUAGAUAUCACGAAGAACUCCGAUUGCGAAGGCAGCUCACUAGACUGUUACUGACACUGAUGCUCGAAAGUGUGGGUAUCAAACAGGAUUAGAUACCCUGGUAGUCCGCACAGUAAACGAUGAAUACUCGCUGUUUGCGAUACACUGUAAGCGGCCAAGCGAAAGCGUUAAGUAUUCCACCUGGGGAGUACGCCGGCAACGGUGAAACUCAAAUGAAUUGACGGGG
This 393-nucleotide ribosomal RNA is filed under the name uncultured bacterium. RNAcentral's name for it is "partial 16S ribosomal RNA". It matches the Rfam family "Bacterial small subunit ribosomal RNA", at positions 523 to 918 of the family's 1533-position model. The record is from RNAcentral.